Oncorhynchus mykiss (rainbow trout) is the source of this 1498-nucleotide non-coding RNA. NCBI's taxonomy places the organism in Eukaryota, Metazoa, Chordata, Actinopteri, Salmoniformes, Salmonidae. The record is from RefSeq and is a predicted model, not a curated record.
CAAGCUGUGCAGGAUGCAGGCAGACAGGGAGUAGAGUGGGGAUUCAGGCAGACAGGGAGUAGAGUGGGGAUGCAGGCAGACAGGGAGUAGAGUGGGGAUGCAGGCAGACAGGGAGUAGAGUGGGGAUGCAGGCAGACAGGGAGUAGAGUGGGGAUGCAGGCAGACAGGGAGUAGAGUGGGGAUGCAGGCAGACAGGGAGUAGAGUGGGGAUGCAGGCAGACAGGGAGUAGAGUGGGGAUGCAGAGCGAGGGAAGCAGUUUCAUUACUCCCCUCUAACCAUUCUCCAACCUACUCUAUUUUACUUAUUUUUUUCUCAUCAGAAUAUCUACAGCGAUGAACAAGUUGUCAUGACAUCAUGUCCUAAACCUUUUCACUCAUUAAAUCUUUAACAAUUCCCUUUUAUUCUCCCUCUGGUUUCUUCCACUUUAUUUCUCUCCUCUUGUUCUUACUUAUAGAGUAGCUAAUUUUCUACCCCCCUUCCCUUCACCCAGUUUUUUAAAAGCAGAGGGGAAUGUGUUAACAGGGGAAGCGGAUGGAGAGAGGAGGAGAAAGGUGAGGUAGAGAGAGAAUGUGGCUAAGAGCGGGGCACAGUGCCUGCUGUCUUCAUCCCUGCACCGCAAGCGGCAUUCUCCCUCUGCCAGUGAUGAGGACUCUUAAAGAGGACAAAGAAGGAAGAAAGACGGCCUGAACAAAGAAUAGUGAAAAAGCUCUCUGAGCAAUGAGGAUACCAGGAUUUUUCUGCAUUGAUUUGAGUCCCACUGCUUCUCUCAGACAUGUUCCAUUUGCCUGCUCUUUUCUUCCAUGUCAAUCCACUACUUUUCUGUGCUGGGAGAAGAUAUCAAAGUUCAUGUCAAUGUCGGCAGUUACAAUGUAACAGAUGAAACAAAAUGUACAAAAAAAACCUUCCAACCCAGAGGUUAAUAAACAAUGAAUCUUUGGGAAGAUUCAGCAGCUAUCCGCCACCUGCAAAGAUCAACUGGAGUUCCAGGGUUGAAAGGAAGGGGACUCACACAAUAGAUGCCCCCCUACAACCCUCUCUUUUAUCCUCACCAUCCAACACACAUGGGCACACUGCCAACUCGGAAUCUUAAGAACUCUCAUUCAAAGAACCCCAUUUAAGAAGGGGAUUUGUUUAAAGCCAGGACCCUUUCUCUCUCCCAGUCCUUGUAUUUUCCCCCUUUCAUAUCCCCAUGAGAAGAGCGAUUUUUUCUUGAUUAUUCUCCGACACCGCAACUGGGAUUUCUAAAAUUGCCACUCCAGCAGCGUUUUGUCAGAUUUAUGAAUUUUGUCAGUGAAGGGAUGCCAUUCUCGCUCUAGCGUGGACACAGCCAGAGGAGGAGGAAAUGGAGCCAGAAGAGCUGCACAGAAGACAUCGCACUAAUGUCCACAGAAUAUUUUCCCAAAAGUCUUUGGGAUCAUCAAGAUGUGUCACGAUCGUUGGAAGCAUACUCGGACCAACGUGCAGCGUGAUCUGGAUUCCACAUCUUUUUAUUUAAAG